This 2505-nucleotide long non-coding RNA is filed under the name Eucalyptus grandis. RNAcentral's name for it is "long non-coding RNA (EGRA_LNC007278)". The record is from RNAcentral. Lineage: Eukaryota; Viridiplantae; Streptophyta; Magnoliopsida; Myrtales; Myrtaceae.
GGGAAGCCAUACGAUCCCCAAACAUGCGUCUUCAUCGCUAGGAAAAACACUCGCACAAAAUAAUAUCAUAAGGACUUAUUCGUAUAACACGAAGCAUUAUAUACAAGCAUUGGGAAAAUCGCUCAAUUGAUCCUAAACCUCUAUUGUACGAAUACUAUUUCAAUAAGACUUUCUAAUAUUACCAAUUUAAUCCUACACAUUGGUGUGAAAUGCAAAUGUGGUUCUUUUAAUCAAUUUUCGCCGAAAACUGCUGACAUAGUGUGUCACGCCCCGAACCUCGAGCGCGCCAACAUCCCACCAUGGUCAUGCAAAUGCGACAUUCCCAGGUAGUGUCGCCGACCCCAUUCAUUUAUGAUUGCGCAAGCGGAACGUAUUAUAAAACCCCUGACAAUAAAAUACGGGAUAGAAAAGCAGGAAGCAAAACCACAACAUAACACUUCCAUAAUUCAACAGAAUUACAAACAGAGGUCUACAGCCAAAACUCUACAAAAGACCGGCUCUUAAAAAUGAAUUGUCCUACGACCUACAAGUCGGACACGUUCUCCAAUCUUAUGACUUCACCUCUACAACUCCUCAAGGCCAACCAAAGCUAUUUGGUCGCUCCGUCCACCAGGGACCUGAAAUUUUAAUCCCACAACCGGGAUGAGACGAUGUCUCAGCAAGUUCAACCCCCUAAACCCCUAUUAGAAAGAAAAUACGCCCAAGGGUGGCCUAGCCACAUCACACAGAGAACUUACCUCGCCUCAAUUCCUUCCUGCAGGUUAGCACAAUUUGUAUCACACAAUUUCAGGUAGUAAUAAUAAUUCAAACAAUUGGAACGCCAUCACUUUCAUAUAAAUCACGAUCGCACUUAGCACGCAUUCCAAUUAUUAUUCACUGCCACACAAGGGCAUAGCCUACUCGCGGGUCGGCUAUCUACUAACAUUACGGCAUUUCUAGAAGAAUAAAGGUCCAGUCGGUCUCGCCACUAUUGCGACCCAGCCACGUCAUUCUCUUGACGGCAUUUCUAGAAGAAUAAAGGUCCAGUCGGUCUCGCCACUACUGCGACCAAGCCACGUCAUUCUCUUGACGGCAUUUCUAGAAGAAUAAAGGUCCAGUCGGUCUCGCCACUACUGCGACCCAGCCACGUCAUUCUCUUGACGGCAUUUCUAGCAGAAUAAGGAUCCAGUCGGCCUAGCCACUACUGCGACCCGAGCCUUUCAACUAGCACACGACAAUUCGAUACCGAUCCCUAGAUACUUUACAUUUCACUCACAUAAUCCAAUUACGAUAUUAACCAUUAACAAUCCAAUUUCAAUGCCAAACUUGACACUUGGAAUUUUCUAAAUAAAAUCCAUACUUUUCACAAUCCAUACUCAAUUUAUAAUAUCCAAUCAUCAAUUUCAAAAUCUGACUAUACAGCAGCGACCGGCACGAAAUUCUGAGAAUUUAGGGUCAAUUUAAAAAUUAAUUAAAUUUAUUCCGAAAAUAAUUAAAUAAUAAUCUUUUAAUAAUUUCGAAUAAUAUAAUAUUAUUAAAUUAUUAAAAAAUUUCGAAAUAUUUAAAUAAAUCAAAAGUAAAUUCCUUUAUGUCACAUCACAUUUUAUAUUAAUAUAAUCACCCACUUAACCUUAAAUUAAACACAAUUUAAGUUAAUCAAACACCUUAAUAUAAUCUACACUUAAAUAAAUUAAACUAACCACCUAAUAACACUUAAUAUAAACUAAGUAUCCAUAAAGCAUCAUUAACCUUCUAAUCAAGGUUUAGUGAGUUAAACUCACCGGAUUAGCGAGCCGAGCGGACCAAAACGACAGGGACGCCGAUGAGAACAACUUUCCUCAAAGUGGGCCGAGCAUCCGGGCUCGGGAAGGUGGCCAAAACGGGCCAAAACUCCGCUGCAAUACCCAUUUUUGCAGCUACUGAUUUGGGGCUGGAGGAGGCGGAUCCGGCGCCGGUUCGGGUCGGAAAGGGCGGAGGAGGACCGGCGGCAGCUUGGUCGGGCUGAAGGGGAGGUCGACGGCGGCGGAGGGAGCUCCGGCGAAGGCCCGAGCUGCUGGAACGCGGGCUGGCGCGGACGAGGGCGACGAGCAGGCGAGCUGACCGGCGGAGCAGCGUGCGGACGGCGCGCGAGCGGCGAACGACAGUCCGGCUCCGGCGGAUUGCUAUUCGAUCUUCGCUGCUGCUUUCGCUCUCAGAUCUGCUGGAGACGUCGAGUAGAAACCGGAGACGGAGAAGAGAGGAGAGAGGGAGGCUGAGGUCCGAGCGGCGAGGCGCGACCGCGACGGCGGGCAGACGGGCGAAGGCGGCGACGGCUCCGGCUGCAGGCUUCUGGUUGCUGGGUUCGAAGCCGGAGAAGAAGAUGGAGAUGGAGAGUGGUCGCACGGGAGAGAGGAAGAAGAGAGGGAGGAGAGAGAAGGAGGGGGGCCCUUUUCAUUUUCUUUUUCUCUUUCUUUUAUCCAACUAAAUGGCCCACCAUGACAUCAUCCCAUGUCAUCUUCCACUAUCUCUUCUCCCACAACAUUCUUC